CGCAGCCGCGGUAAUUCCAGCUCCAAUAGCGUAUAUUAAAGUUGUUGCAGUUAAAAGCUCGUAGUUGAAUUUCGGGGUUAGUAGGUUGGUCAUGCCUCUGGUAUGUACUGGUCUCACUGAUUCCUCCUUCCUGAUGAACCUUAAUGCCAUUUAAUUUGGUGUUUUGGGGAAUUUGGACUGUUACUUUGAAAAAUUGAGUGUUUAAAGCAAGCUAACGCUUGAAUAUAUUAGCAUGGAAUAAUGAAAUAGGACGUUCGAUCCUAUUUUGUUGGUUUCUAGGAUUGACGUAAUGAUUAAUAGGGAUAGUUGGGGGCAUUAGUAUUCAAUUGUCAGAGGUGAAAUUCUUGGAUUUAUUGAAGACUAACUACUGCGAAAGCAUUUGCCAAGGAUGUUUUCAUUAAUCAAGAACGAAAGUUAGGGAUGAAGACGAUCAGAUACCGUCGUAGUCUUAACCAUAAACUAUGCGACUAGGGAUCGGAUGAUGUUAAUUUUUAAUGUACUCUAUUCGGCGUCCGUUACG
RNAcentral lists this unclassified non-coding RNA (520 nucleotides) under uncultured Glomus. RNAcentral's name for it is "SSU rRNA". It matches the Rfam family "Eukaryotic small subunit ribosomal RNA", at positions 569 to 1094 of the family's 1831-position model. The record is from RNAcentral. Lineage: Eukaryota; Fungi; Glomeromycota; Glomeromycetes; Glomerales; Glomeraceae.